UUAAUUUUUUUAGCAAAAAAAAAAUUAAUGUUGUAUUUUUAAUUGAAGUAUUUUUUUCUAGUUAGUUAUAGGG
This 73-nucleotide transfer RNA is filed under the name Urtica thunbergiana. RNAcentral's name for it is "tRNA-His". The record is from RNAcentral. Lineage: Eukaryota; Viridiplantae; Streptophyta; Magnoliopsida; Rosales; Urticaceae.